RNAcentral lists this ribosomal RNA (253 nucleotides) under uncultured bacterium. RNAcentral's name for it is "partial 16S ribosomal RNA". It matches the Rfam family "Bacterial small subunit ribosomal RNA", at positions 524 to 776 of the family's 1533-position model. The record is from RNAcentral.
UACGAAGGGGGCUAGCGUUGUUCGGAAUUACUGGGCGUAAAGCGCGCGCAGGCGGCUCGAUAAGUUGGGGGUGAAAUCCCCGGGCUCAACCCGGGAAUGGCCUUCAAGACUGUCGAGCUAGAGGACGAGAGAGGUGAGUGGAAUUCCCAGUGUAGAUGUGAAAUUCGUAGAUAUUGGGAAGAACACCGGUGGCGAAGGCGGCUCACUGGCUCGUUUCUGACGCUGAGGCGCGAAAGCGUGGGGAGCAAACAGG